This 1393-nucleotide small RNA is filed under the name Pongo abelii (Sumatran orangutan). RNAcentral's name for it is "retained intron". Lineage: Eukaryota; Metazoa; Chordata; Mammalia; Primates; Hominidae. The record is from RNAcentral.
ACAAUAGUAGCUCCCUCCAAGAUGGCGGCAGCGACGGCAGACCCGGGAGCUGGGAACCCGCAGGCUGGGGACUCCUCCGGCGGGGGCGCUGGGGGCGGGCUGCCGUCCCCUGGGGAGCAGGAGCUGAGCCGGCGCUUGCAGCGCCUGUAUCCUGCGGUCAACCAGCAAGAGACUCCGCUGCCGCGUUCCUGGAGCCCCAAGGACAAAUACAACUACAUUGGUCUCUCCCAGGGCAACCUCCGCGUCCACUACAAAGGUCAUGGCAAAAAUCACAAAGAUGCGGCCUCAGUGCGUGCCACCCACCCCAUACCUGCUGCCUGUGGCAUUUAUUACUUUGAAGUGAAGAUUGUCAGCAAAGGAAGAGAUGGUUACAUGGGAAUAGGACUCUCGGCUCAAGGCGUCAACAUGAACAGACUUCCUGGUUGGGACAAACAUUCCUAUGGUUACCAUGGUGAUGAUGGGCAUUCGUUCUGCUCCUCGGGGACUGGCCAGCCCUAUGGUCCCACAUUCACCACAGGAGACGUGAUCGGCUGCUGCGUCAACCUCAUCAAUGGCACCUGCUUCUACACCAAGAAUGGCCACAGCCUUGGUAUAGCCUUCACAGACCUCCCGGCCAACCUCUACCCCACCGUAGGCCUGCAGACACCUGGGGAGAUUGUGGACGCCAACUUUGGGCAGCAGCCCUUCCUGUUUGACAUUGAGGACUACAUGCGGGAGUGGCGUGCCAAGGUCCAGGGCACGGUCCACUGCUUCCCCAUCAGUGCCCGGCUUGGCGAGUGGCAGGCAGUGCUGCAGAACAUGGUCUCAUCUUACCUCGUGCAUCAUGGGUAUUGCGCCACAGCCACGGCUUUUGCUCGAAUGACUGAAACCCCAAUUCAGGAAGAACAGGCGUCCAUAAAGAACAGACAAAGUAAGGUUUAUUCUACUUUCCCCUUUCCCUUCCUCACCUGUCCCUAACUCUGCUCUCUGGCUCAUGUCAACCCUGGUUAACCUGUCAGGAGUCCAUUCAGCUCUGGUCCUCAUGACCAGCUUGCAGCCCGAGGCCAUGUUCCUGUCCCACCUUCAAGAUGGCACUGCCCAGAUGGACAGUUGGCAGGAUGGAGACGUCUCAGGGCAGCCUCCCUAAUGCACAUUCUGAAGGCUGGGCGCAGGCCAGGCCCUGGCAUGGCUGGUUCCAUUCCUCCAUUUCCUCCCUGCUUGUUUCCUUCCCCCUGAAUCCUGGAUUCCUCUCAGCCUCCUGUUCAUGGUCUUCCAGGAAGACUGUUUGCCUCUUACCAGACAAACUCUCUGCCUUUCUCACCAUUUACUCAGCCUUAGUAGUUCUGCUUAUUCCUAGCCAGAGAGGGGACUGAAGUGGUCAGAUAGGGCAAAGCCAGUGCUCAAUGGCUGCUGU